UACAGAGGGUGCAAGCGUUGUUCGGAAUUAUUGGGCGUAAAGGGCGCGUAGGCGGUGCGGUAAGUCUGUAGUGAAAUCUCUGGGCUCAACUCAGAGUCUGCUAUAGAAACUGCCGUGCUUGAGUGUGGGAGAGGUGAGUGGAAUUCCCGGUGUAGCGGUGAAAUGCGUAGAUAUCGGGAGGAGCACCUGUGGCGAAAGCGGCUCACUGGACCACAACUGACGCUGAGACGCGAAAGCGUGGGGAGCGAACAGG
Molecule: ribosomal RNA, 253 nt
Filed under: uncultured bacterium
Lineage: Bacteria
Description: partial 16S ribosomal RNA
Rfam family: Bacterial small subunit ribosomal RNA
Source: RNAcentral